CGGUUGAUCCUGCCGGAGGCCACUGCUAUGGGGGUCCGACUAAGCCAUGCGAGUCAUGGGGCGCCUUGCGCGCACCGGCGGACGGCUCAGUAACACGUCGGUAACCUACCCUCGGGAGGGGGAUAACCCCGGGAAACUGGGGCUAAUCCCCCAUAGGCCUGAGGUACUGGAAGGUCCUCAGGCCGAAAGGGGCUCUGCCCGCCCGAGGAUGGGCCGGCGGCCGAUUAGGUAGUUGGUGGGGUAACGGCCCACCAAGCCGAAGAUCGGUACGGGCCAUGAGAGUGGGAGCCCGGAGAUGGACACUGAGACACGGGUCCAGGCCCUACGGGGCGCAGCAGGCGCGAAACCUCCGCAAUGCGGGAAACCGCGACGGGGGGACCCCCAGUGCCGUGGCAUCGCCACGGCUUUUCCGGAGUGUAAAGAGCUCCGGGAAUAAGGGCUGGGCAAGGCCGGUGGCAGCCGCCGCGGUAAUACCGGCGGCCCGAGUGGUGGCCGCUAUUAUUGGGCCUAAAGCGUCCGUAGCCGGGCCCGUAAGUCCCUGGCGAAAUCCCACGGCUCAACCGUGGGGCUUGCUGGGGAUACUGCGGGCCUUGGGACCGGGAGAGGCGGAGGGUACUCCUGGGGUAGGGGUGAAAU
Molecule: ribosomal RNA, 636 nt
Filed under: uncultured archaeon
Lineage: Archaea
Description: bacterial SSU rRNA
Rfam family: Archaeal small subunit ribosomal RNA
Source: RNAcentral